This 465-nucleotide ribosomal RNA is filed under the name Vreelandella stevensii. RNAcentral's name for it is "partial 16S ribosomal RNA". It matches the Rfam family "Bacterial small subunit ribosomal RNA", at positions 338 to 795 of the family's 1533-position model. The record is from RNAcentral. Lineage: Bacteria; Pseudomonadati; Pseudomonadota; Gammaproteobacteria; Oceanospirillales; Halomonadaceae.
CCUACGGGGGGCUGCAGUGGGGAAUAUUGGACAAUGGGCGAAAGCCUGAUCCAGCCAUGCCGCGUGUGUGAAGAAGGCCUUCGGGUUGUAAAGCACUUUCAGUGGGGAAGAAAGCCUUGGGGCUAAUACCCUCGAGGAAGGACAUCACCCACAGAAGAAGCACCGGCUAACUCCGUGCCAGCAGCCGCGGUAAUACGGAGGGUGCGAGCGUUAAUCGGAAUUACUGGGCGUAAAGCGCGCGUAGGCGGUCUGAUAAGCCGGUUGUGAAAGCCCCGGGCUCAACCUGGGAACGGCAUCCGGAACUGUCAGGCUAGAGUGUAGGAGAGGAAGGUAGAAUUCCCGGUGUAGCGGUGAAAUGCGUAGAGAUCGGGAGGAAUACCAGUGGCGAAGGCGGCCUACUGGACUGACACUGACGCUGAGGUGCGAAAGCGUGGGUAGCAAACAGGAUUAGAUACCCCGGUAGUC